Molecule: ribosomal RNA, 1539 nt
Filed under: Escherichia coli
Lineage: Bacteria; Pseudomonadati; Pseudomonadota; Gammaproteobacteria; Enterobacterales; Enterobacteriaceae
Description: bacterial SSU rRNA
Rfam family: Bacterial small subunit ribosomal RNA
Source: RNAcentral
UUGAAGAGUUUGAUCAUGGCUCAGAUUGAACGCUGGCGGCAGGCCUAACACAUGCAAGUCGAACGGUAACAGGAAACAGCUUGCUGUUUCGCUGACGAGUGGCGGACGGGUGAGUAAUGUCUGGGAAACUGCCUGAUGGGAGGGGGAUAACUACUGGAAACGGUAGCUAAUACCGCAUAACGUCGCAAGACCAAAGAGGGGGACCUUCGGGCCUCUUGCCAUCGGAUGUGCCCAGAUGGGAUUAGCUUGUUGGUGGGGUAACGGCUCACCAAGGCGACGAUCCCUAGCUGGUCUGAGAGGAUGACCAGCCACACUGGAACUGAGACACGGUCCAGACUCCUACGGGAGGCAGCAGUGGGGAAUAUUGCACAAUGGGCGCAAGCCUGAUGCAGCCAUGCCGCGUGUAUGAAGAAGGCCUUCGGGUUGUAAAGUACUUUCAGCGGGGAGGAAGGGAGUAAAGUUAAUACCUUUGCUCAUUGACGUUACCCGCAGAAGAAGCACCGGCUAACUCCGUGCCAGCAGCCGCGGUAAUACGGAGGGUGCAAGCGUUAAUCGGAAUUACUGGGCGUAAAGCGCACGCAGGCGGUUUGUUAAGUCAGAUGUGAAAUCCCCGGGCUCAACCUGGGAACUGCAUCUGAUACUGGCAAGCUUGAGUCUCGUAGAGGGGGGUAGAAUUCCAGGUGUAGCGGUGAAAUGCGUAGAGAUCUGGAGGAAUACCGGUGGCGAAGGCGGCCCCCUGGACGAAGACUGACGCUCAGGUGCGAAAGCGUGGGGAGCAAACAGGAUUAGAUACCCUGGUAGUCCACGCCGUAAACGAUGUCGACUUGGAGGUUGUGCCCUUGAGGCGUGGCUUCCGGAGCUAACGCGUUAAGUCGACCGCCUGGGGAGUACGGCCGCAAGGUUAAAACUCAAAUGAAUUGACGGGGGCCCGCACAAGCGGUGGAGCAUGUGGUUUAAUUCGAUGCAACGCGAAGAACCUUACCUGGUCUUGACAUCCACGGAAGUUUUCAGAGAUGAGAAUGUGCCUUCGGGAACCGUGAGACAGGUGCUGCAUGGCUGUCGUCAGCUCGUGUUGUGAAAUGUUGGGUUAAGUCCCGCAACGAGCGCAACCCUUAUCCUUUGUUGCCAGCGGUCCGGCCGGGAACUCAAAGGAGACUGCCAGUGAUAAACUGGAGGAAGGUGGGGAUGACGUCAAGUCAUCAUGGCCCUUACGACCAGGGCUACACACGUGCUACAAUGGCGCAUACAAAGAGAAGCGACCUCGCGAGAGCAAGCGGACCUCAUAAAGUGCGUCGUAGUCCGGAUUGGAGUCUGCAACUCGACUCCAUGAAGUCGGAAUCGCUAGUAAUCGUGGAUCAGAAUGCCACGGUGAAUACGUUCCCGGGCCUUGUACACACCGCCCGUCACACCAUGGGAGUGGGUUGCAAAAGAAGUAGGUAGCUUAACCUUCGGGAGGGCGCUUACCACUUUGUGAUUCAUGACUGGGGUGAAGUCGUAACAAGGUAACCGUAGGGGAACCUGCGGUUGGAUCACCUCCUU